Long non-coding RNA from Spinacia oleracea (spinach), 1404 nucleotides. RefSeq lists it as uncharacterized. The record is from RefSeq and is a predicted model, not a curated record. The transcript is spliced from 5 exons. Lineage: Eukaryota; Viridiplantae; Streptophyta; Magnoliopsida; Caryophyllales; Amaranthaceae.
GUUUUCUCUCACUCUUACCUUUCCUAGUAUCAUUUCAAUAUUUCAUUUCUGGAAUUCUAAACUCCUUCGACUCACAAGUUUCACUUUAAAAGUUUUAAAGUUCCGCUAUUGGUAAUAAGGUUUACUACUAUUCAUAAAAUCAGUCAAUUUUUCAAUUUUAAAAGAUAGUUAAAAAAGCUGCCAUUAAAUCAGUCAAUUUUUUACUUGGUAAAAUUUAAAAGAUGAUUGAAAAGAAAUGAUCAAUCUUUAUUGUAAAAAAAUAAAGUUUGGAGUGAUGAAGAGGCAAAUAAGUUGUUACAAUUGUGGUAAAUCUGGUCAUUUUUCUACAUUUUGCCCAGAAAAAUCAUGUGGGUAUAACCUCAACAAGAAAUUGAAGCCUUCAAUGUCAUCAUCUUUCCAAAGUUUCCCAGUCACAAAUUGUCGUUGUGGUGGAGGUUUGUGCAAAAUCAAGAUUACUCCUAAAACUCAAAAAUGUUUCUACACUUGCCCUAACAUUUAUGAAUUGCACUGUGGGUACUUCAAAUUAUGUGAGGAUCUAAAGGCGCAUGAGAUAUUGCAUAAAUCUCCUCCGAUUUUUCCAAUUUGUUCAUGUGGGGCUGGAGUUUGCAGGUUAGAAAUUGUAAGAGAAGGCCCUGAUUCUGGUCGGAGUUAUUUUGCUUGCAAAAGAAACUACAAGGUGCUUGCAAUUUCUGGCAAUGGAAGGAUGAAAAGUAUUAUCAGCCUACAUCAAAUGUGGUUAAAGAUACCAUAGCUUAUAAUGAUAGCAUAGCCAAUGAGAUUGACAUGAUUCGCAAGGAAUUUGAAGACGGUGGUAUGGAUCUCGACUUUCCCUUAGAUGAAAUCGAAAUCAAUUCUUCAAGUGUAACAUUUUCUGGAGACAACAUGACUCAUUCUAGUCCUGUAACAAGCCCCGUUAGCCCAUUGGAUGUGGCAGCUCUUGCAUCAACAGAUUCUCAGAGUAUGGUGGUUAAGUGGUUCCCUCGCAAUUGACUACUGUUCUAACAUGCUUCUUCUAGUGCUUGCUUAGUGACUUGGCUUAUUCUAAGGAUUCCGUUGCCGUCGUAGCUUAUAGUGAGGUGCAAUGUGUAAAGAUGUUAUGGGAGCUCCAAACAUCAAUAACAUAGGGAAGUAUAUACCGCAGAAGCUACAUUUGAAGGGAUGAGAUUAACUAUAGUAAUAUAGUAUCCUUAGAUGUUUAGUUUUAUGUUAUUAAUGAAAUCUGUAUAAACCUAAUUGAUCGAAGUGCAAAGUUAGCUAAUAGUGUAGUUGUUACUUUAGUAGUAAAGUUGAACAGAGUUCAGAAUAUACCCAGAGGUUUCUACGAAACUGUGGUAGAAACUGGUAAGGGCUCAUAUUUGUUGGAAGUUUUCAUGCAGGUCACUACUCACUAACCAAAGUGCCUGA